GGCUCAGUUAGCUCAGGUGGUUAGAGAAUGGUGUUGAUAAUGCCAAGGUCAUGAGUUUGAGCCCCAUAUGGGCCA
Non-coding RNA from Podarcis lilfordi (Lilford's wall lizard), 75 nucleotides. The record is from the annotation of a GenBank genome assembly. NCBI's taxonomy places the organism in Eukaryota, Metazoa, Chordata, Lepidosauria, Squamata, Lacertidae.